Equus caballus (horse) is the source of this 1943-nucleotide long non-coding RNA. NCBI's taxonomy places the organism in Eukaryota, Metazoa, Chordata, Mammalia, Perissodactyla, Equidae. The record is from Ensembl.
CCACAUUUGUGCAUUGCAUUUUCUUGAUUAGUUAUUCAUCAAGUUCCCAGCUUAUAAGAGUUUCUUGGAAGCUCAUCAGGAAUGCAAGCCAAACAGAAUGCCUGGCUCACAAAUCUGCUCACCUGGGUGUUUGGACAACCCAAGGCAGAAAAUAAAUCAGCUUGAUCAUCUUUUUGAUACUCAUGGCCAUCAAUAAAAACUUAUUGAAGGAAGGAGGGUUAACCUCCAAUUUUUGAGUCUCUGAAAAUGUUUUGCAUGGUUUUAUGGAAAUCCCCUAAAGCAAAAAGGAUAGAAUUACCGUCAACAGCCGAAGUUGGAAAGACAGGAUUGUUUUGCCCAUUUUGAAAAUGAGGAAACUGAGGCUGAGAGCUGUGAAGUGACUUAAUUCCGAAGUGGCUGAGUUGGCGGUCAAUCCCUAAGCCUGGCUCCAAAAUUCUUCCUAUCACAUCCUGAUACCUGACAUCCAGCUACCACUCCAGAUAGACAAGAGAGCUAAAGAACAAAAAAUUGUGCACAAGAAAACCUAUGUUAAAUUCAGCCUGUCCUGGAAAAUCCAGAGUCUGUGGAAAUAAAUUCUACCCAUAAAGUCAAGGCGAAGUUUUCCUUAAAGGGAAACCCUCCAUGAAUAUCACUUCAAGAAAAGAAAGACACAGUACAUAUCUCGACUCUACCUCCAGCUCAGGAGCUGCAGCCGGGAGCUGGUAAGUGGGAGGUGAAGAAAGACCCGAGAACGAAGAGGAGGGGUGAGUGGAGAGAGGAAGAGGAGAAGGAAGUCCCUCGUCAAAGCCAGAAGAAUUGGAAGCACGGACAUGAAGAGAGAUUUGUACACCCGUGUUCACGGCAGCAUUAUUCACAAAAGCCAAAAGGUGGCAGCCACCCAAGAGUUCAUCAACAGAUGAAUGGAUAAACAAAAUGUGGAGUCCCAGCAUCUCAAGCUUGAAUAGACUGAAGUGGCAAAGGCUGGUGUCCAUAAAUCGUCAUCUGCCUCUGCAAAAGGAUUGCCCCUUUGGGUCUCUAUUUGUUCGUGCCAGGAAGUGAGCAAGUGGACCCACGUGGGAACCACUGCUGCUUGAACUUGGGAAAUGUGAAGUUUGGAUGCGGGAAGUUUAAAGAGUGGCCUUUUUCUCAACAUGAACCCACCUCUUGGAGACUGUAGCCUCUCAUCGAUUUGAUAGCUGCCCGCCUCAAAUGGAAGACCUUGUGUCUGGAAGGAACUCUUCAAAUUCUAGUGAUUUCAAAGUUGAGCUAAAAUUUCUUCAGAAGUCAUGCUUGUAAUUUCCUGGGAAUGCUUUAUUAAAAUGGGGCCAAAUGGCCACUUCUCUGAGUGUCCAAGCCCAGAACCCUUCUUUUGGGAUGAUUUAUGGUCGCAAAGUUUGCCUAAUUGCAAUAAUCACCACCUAACUGAUGAUACUCCCGCUCCCUCGUUUUGACAUGUCUCUGCCUGUCGCCAUUUUAUCAAUCCCAAAUGGAUAUUGAACCAUUUCGUGCUCCAAUUAGUCUUCCUAGUUGCCGCUAAUAUAUUGAGGUCUACAACUGUGUACUCAGAAAAAGUAUAAAUAUUCCAGUAAGUUUGUUAAAGCAGGAAGGAUUGUCCGAAAUGAGAGUUUCUCCUGCAGGUUCUUCAGUUGAAGACUAGAGGGACCAGGAAUGAAAAAGUUGAUGUGAUUGGCUUGUCCCUGAGUCGCUUGACUAGCUCACUCUAGCCCAUGCGUGCGGUUCUCCAGGUCAGUCUUGGGCACUCACAUGCUGCAGAGAACGUGGAUUCUCGGAGUCCAAGCAGUGGUUCUCAGUGAGGGGUGAUUUUGCUCCCUCCCCGACCAGGGGACAUUUGGCAACGUCUGGAGCCUGUUUUGGUUGUCACAACUCAAGAGUGCUAAUAGUAUCUAGUAGGUAGAGGCCAGGGUUCAUGCUAAUAUCCUACAACGCCCAGGACAGCCCCCUAC